GAUGAAGAACGCAGCGAAAUGCGAUAAGUAAUGUGAAUUGCAGAAUUCAGUGAAUCAUCGAAUCUUUGAACGCACAUUGCGCCCCCCAGUAUUCUGGCGGGCAUGCCUGUUCGAGCGUCAUUUCAACCAUCAAGCCCUGCUUGUGUUGGGGUCCUGCGGCUGCCCGCAGGCCCUGAAAACCAGUGGCGGGCUCGCUAGUCACACCGAGCGCAGUGGCACAUCUCGCUCAGGGCGUGCGGCGGGCUCCAGCCGUUAAAGCACCCACCUUUCGCAAGGUUGACCUCGGAUCAGGUAGGAAUACCCGCUGAACUUAAGCAUAUCAAUAAGCGGAGGA
RNAcentral lists this unclassified non-coding RNA (334 nucleotides) under soil metagenome. RNAcentral's name for it is "partial contains 5.8S ribosomal RNA, internal transcribed spacer 2, and large subunit ribosomal RNA". The stretch from base 1 to 120 matches the Rfam family "5.8S ribosomal RNA", at positions 35 to 154 of the family's 154-position model. The record is from RNAcentral.